Molecule: ribosomal RNA, 491 nt
Filed under: uncultured bacterium
Lineage: Bacteria
Description: partial 16S ribosomal RNA
Rfam family: Bacterial small subunit ribosomal RNA
Source: RNAcentral
AGUGAACGCUGGCGGUAGGCCUAGCACAUGCAAGUCGAACGGCAGCACAGUAAGAGCUUGCUCUUACGGGUGGCGAGUGGCGGACGGGUGAGGAAUACAUCGGAAUCUACUUUUUCGUGGGGGAUAACGUAGGGAAACUUACGCUAAUACCGCAUACGACCUACGGGUGAAAGCAGGGGAUCUUCGGACCUUGCGCGAUUGAAUGAGCCGAUGUCGGAUUAGCUAGUUGGCGGGGUAAAGGCCCACCAAGGCGACGAUCCGUAGCUGGUCUGAGAGGAUGAUCAGCCACACUGGAACUGAGACACGGUCCAGACUCCUACGGGAGGCAGCAGUGGGGAAUAUUGGACAGUGGGCGCAAGCCUGAUCCAGCCUACCGCGUGGGUGAAGAAGGCCUUCGGGUUGUAAAGCCCUUUUGUUGGGAAAGAAAAGCAGCAGGUUAAUACCCCGCUGUUCUGACGGUACCCAAAGAAUAAGCACCGGCUAACUUCGUG